GUGAGGAAUAUUGGUCAAUGGGCGAGAGCCUGAACCAGCCAAGUCGCGUGAGGGAAGAAUGGUCUAUGGCCUGUAAACCUCUUUUGUCAAGGAAGAAUAAAUCGCACGGGUGCGAUCUUGCCAGUACUUGACGAAUAAGCAUCGGCUAACUCCGUGCCAGCAGCCGCGGUAAUACGGGGGAUGCGAGCGUUAUCCGGAUUUAUUGGGUUUAAAGGGCGCGUAGGCGGGACGUCAAGUCAGCGGUAAAAGACUGCAGCUAAACUGUAGCACGCCGUUGAAACUGGCGCCCUCGAGACGAGACGAGGGAGGCGGAACAAGUGAAGUAGCGGUGAAAUGCAUAGAUAUCACUUGGAACCCCGAUAGCGAAGGCAGCUUCCCAGGCUCGAUCUGACGCUGAUGCGCGAGAGCGUGGGUAGCGAACAGGAUUAGAUACCCCAGUAGUCC
RNAcentral lists this ribosomal RNA (444 nucleotides) under uncultured bacterium. Its description in RNAcentral is "bacterial SSU rRNA". It matches the Rfam family "Bacterial small subunit ribosomal RNA", at positions 354 to 796 of the family's 1533-position model. The record is from RNAcentral.